AUUGAACGCUGGCGGCAUGCCUUACACAUGCAAGUCGAACGGCAGCGCGGACUUCGGUCUGGCGGCGAGUGGCGAACGGGUGAGUAAUGCAUCGGAACGUACCUUUCAGUGGGGGAUAACGUAGCGAAAGUUACGCUAAUACCGCAUACUCUGUGAGCAGGAAAGCAGGGGAUCACAAGACCUUGCGCUGAUUGAGCGGCCGAUGUCAGAUUAGCUAGUUGGUGAGGUAAAGGCUCACCAAGGCGACGAUCUGUAGCGGGUCUGAGAGGAUGAUCCGCCACACUGGGACUGAGACACGGCCCAGACUCCUACGGGAGGCAGCAGUGGGGAAUUUUGGACAAUGGGGGCAACCCUGAUCCAGCCAUGCCGCGUGAGUGAAGAAGGCCUUCGGGUUGUAAAGCUCUUUCGGCCGGGAAGAAGUCGCAUGGGUUAAUACCCUGUGUGGAUGACGGUACCGGAAUAAGAAGCACCGGCUAACUACGUGCCAGCCGCCGCCGUAA
Molecule: ribosomal RNA, 500 nt
Filed under: uncultured bacterium
Lineage: Bacteria
Description: partial 16S ribosomal RNA
Rfam family: Bacterial small subunit ribosomal RNA
Source: RNAcentral